This 71-nucleotide transfer RNA is filed under the name Ictidomys tridecemlineatus (thirteen-lined ground squirrel). RNAcentral's name for it is "Spermophilus tridecemlineatus (thirteen-lined ground squirrel) tRNA". It matches the Rfam family "tRNA". From Rfam's summary of the family: Transfer RNA (tRNA) molecules are approximately 80 nucleotides in length. Their secondary structure includes four short double-helical elements and three loops (D, anti-codon, and T loops). The record is from Rfam by way of RNAcentral. Lineage: Eukaryota; Metazoa; Chordata; Mammalia; Rodentia; Sciuridae.
GGGUAUGUAGAUCAGAGGUAGUAGAUCACCAGUCUAGCAUGCAGGAGGCCCUGAGUUCAAUCUCAGCACCA